Molecule: long non-coding RNA, 2016 nt
Organism: Homo sapiens (human)
Lineage: Eukaryota; Metazoa; Chordata; Mammalia; Primates; Hominidae
Exons: 3
Source: RefSeq, a predicted model, not a curated record
GGAGCUGGGGUCCUGCCCUGGUGGGGAGGUCAUGUCCAGGGACCUGUGACAUCAGGACCAGGAAGGGAGCUGGCAUCUUGCCAGGGGCGGGGGGCAGGGUUUCUGUCCAGAGUCUGUGACUGGGAAGCAGGGAGGAGGCUCACUGGGGUCUUAAGGCUGGUGGGCGCGUGGAGAGAUAGACAUGGUGUGAGGAGCUCUUCUGUGGACGCAAACACCUGUGGGGUAAUAACAUAAGAAAGCUUUAAAUAGAGAUACUGGGAACGAUUAACUGUGUCAGAAUCACAAAGUUCUGCUGCUUUACAGAUUAAUUGUAGAGACAUUAUGCCGAUGCUUUAAAAGGCAGAAAGAACCUGGAUGCAGAAUGGAGGGUCACAGCAGGAUCGUGGCCAAUGACACUUCCUGCCCAGGAAGUGUCCACAGGAGGAGUCUUUGAAGACUAGCAAGAAAAUGCAGGGCACCUUCCUGGAUGCAUCAACCUUGACCUCAGUGGUCUAUAAUAGCCCUGCAGUCCAGAGGUCCCGCUACUAGAAAUUCUAAGUGUUGGAGACAAAAGUGAAAUGCCAAGGGGGAAUGCUGUCUCCUCUGGGAAAGCAAAAUAUUUACCUGAGAAAGAAAAUCUCCUAAAAGCUUUCUAUACCAUCCAUCCAUCCAUCCAACCAUCCAUCCAUCUAUCCAUCUAUCCAUCUUCCCUUCCCUUCCCUUCCUUUCCCUUCCCUUCCCUUCCCUUUCCUUUCCUUCCUUUUUCUUGUCUUCUUAUGGAGUAUGUCUGCUGAGAGGAUCAGAUUACAUGGAAUCAGAUUAAUUGUAGAUUUCUACAUGUGAUACAAUCCAGUAUAUUGGCCACGAUUGGCUAUGAAACCAGUAGCACAAAAUGGCAGAGUUUCCCAGGAUGGCCAAGACUGGCCUGGAAAAUCUGGGCAAGUGUGUUCUCUGAGACCAAUUCCAUAUAUUCAGGCUCCGUUUUGUAUUAGUUUCUUGAAUUCAAAUAAAGAAUCCAAUGUUGCUUUAAGAAAUAAUUUUGGCAAAAUCAAAUACAAAAUACAUUGUAUGAGGAUGGAGUCACAUCACAGUGAAAGAAAAAAAUACUUGAUUACAUAGAAUUAUUAAUUGGAAAACUAGGAGAAAAGUGUUGAUCAUGAGUUCGAUGUAAAACUGUGCUAGAAAUGUUUAUCAAGACCUACUAUUUGUAAAACACAUUGCUAUGGAGUUAGGCCUCUGUUAGCAGAGUUUAAAUUCAGUUUUUCUUUCAAAGAAUAUCAUUAGCUGGCAGGACAAACAGGGAAACAGGGUUAAAGAAACUUUAAAGAUGUUUCCUAGCCAUGUUCCCAUCAAUACGUUUGCUCAAGUCUAACAGCUGUUAUUCCCGAUAGCUACUGAAUGCAGACAGCAUGGUUAAAUGCCUAGACAUUCUUUGUGGAGUACAGUCAUAAAUUCACAGUUGUCGGUGCUCCAACUGUUGGAACUAAGAGUGACUAAGAAUUAAAACUGGGAAUCCCGGAAGUCCUGACCAGAGAAAUCAGGCAAGAGAGAGAAAUAAAAGGCAUCCUAGCAGGGAAAGGGGGAAGUCAAAUUAUCUGUUCUCACUAAUGCGAUUUGAUACCUGGAAAACCCCAAAGACUCUGUCAAAAGGCUCCAGAACUCAUACAUGACCUCAGUAAAAAGUUUCAGGAUACAAAGUCAAUAUACAAAAUUCAGUAGCAUUUCCAAUAACAUUUGAACUGAGAGCAAAUCAAGAACAUAAUCCCAUUCACAAUAGCCACAAGAAAUAAAAUACCGAGGAAUACAUCUGACCAAGGAGGUGAAGGAUCUCUACAAAGAUAACUACAAAACGCUGCUGAAGGAAAUCAUAGAUAACACAAACAAAUAUGCUUAUGGCUUGGAAGAAUCAGCAUCAUUAAAAUGGCACGAUGCCCAAAGCAAUGUGCAGAUUCAACACCAUUCCUAUCAAACUAGCAAUGUCAUUUUUCACAGAAUUAGAAAAAAAAAACUAUUCUAGAAUUCACGUGGAACAAAAAA